Selaginella moellendorffii is the source of this 218-nucleotide long non-coding RNA. RefSeq lists it as uncharacterized. The transcript has 3 exons. The record is from RefSeq and is a predicted model, not a curated record. Lineage: Eukaryota; Viridiplantae; Streptophyta; Lycopodiopsida; Selaginellales; Selaginellaceae.
AAUGCUGUUCGCAAGAUGUCUCAGCUGGUCCACAUUUUGGCGCUGGAAAACGAGGCUCCUUUUUCUGUCCUGAAUAUUUCCAAGUUGCUGAGCAUACUAAGUAAGCCACUUUCAUGUGAGUUCUCGACGCAGACAACAACAGAUGUUGUCAAUUCGUUGGAUUCGGCUCUGACCAGGUCGUUGAAUAAGGAGACAACCAGUGCACAGACAUGCUCUAG